Molecule: ribosomal RNA, 253 nt
Filed under: uncultured bacterium
Lineage: Bacteria
Description: partial 16S ribosomal RNA
Rfam family: Bacterial small subunit ribosomal RNA
Source: RNAcentral
UACGUAGGGGGCAAGCGUUGUCCGGAUUUAUUGGGCGUAAAGAGCGUGUAGGCGGCCUGACAGGUCUGCUGUGAAAACUCGAGGCUCAACCUCGAGAUGUCGGCGGAAACCGUCUGGCUAGAGUCCGGAAGAGGAGAGUGGAAUUCCUGGUGUAGCGGUGAAAUGCGCAGAUAUCAGGAAGAACACCUAUGGCGAAGGCGGCUCUCUGGGACGGUACUGACGCUGAGACGCGAAAGCGUGGGGAGCGAACAGG